CCUACGGGGGGCAGCAGUGGGGAAUAUUGCGCAAUGGUCGAAAGAGUGACGCAGCGACGCCGCGUGAAUGACGAAGGCCUUCGGGUCGUAAAGUUCUUUCGACAGGGAAGAAAAUGCCUAUAAGUAACUGUGUAUGUAUUUACGGUACCUGUAUAAGCAGCCCCGGCUAACUCCGUGCCAUCAGCCGCGGUAAUACGGAGGGGGCGUGCGUUGUUCGGAGGGACUGGGCGUAAAGAGCACGUAGGCGGUGGUGUAAGUCAUUAGGCAAAGACUAGAGCUCAACUUUAGUAAGGCUAGUGAUACUGUAAUACUAGAGUAUCAGAGAGGAAUGCAGAAUUCCUGGUGUAGCGGUGAAAUGCGUAGAUAUCAGGAGGAAUACCGUUGGCGAAGGCGGCAAUCUGGCUGGAAACUGACGCUGAGGUGCGAAAGCGUGGGUAGCAAACAGGAUUAGAUACCCCUGUAGUC
RNAcentral lists this ribosomal RNA (465 nucleotides) under uncultured bacterium. Its description in RNAcentral is "partial 16S ribosomal RNA". It matches the Rfam family "Bacterial small subunit ribosomal RNA", at positions 338 to 795 of the family's 1533-position model. The record is from RNAcentral.